This 873-nucleotide long non-coding RNA is filed under the name Homo sapiens (human). RNAcentral's name for it is "non-protein coding lnc-PRSS22-2:6". Lineage: Eukaryota; Metazoa; Chordata; Mammalia; Primates; Hominidae. The record is from RNAcentral.
AAUGCGGCCACUCCAAGGAGGCCGGGAGGAUUGUGGGAGGCCAAGACACCCAGGAAGGACGCUGGCCGUGGCAGGUUGGCCUGUGGUUGACCUCAGUGGGGCAUGUAUGUGGGGGCUCCCUCAUCCACCCACGCUGGGUGCUCACAGCCGCCCACUGCUUCCUGAGGUCUGAGGAUCCCGGGCUCUACCAUGUUAAAGUCGGAGGGCUGACACCCUCACUUUCAGAGCCCCACUCGGCCUUGGUGGCUGUGAGGAGGCUCCUGGUCCACUCCUCAUACCAUGGGACCACCACCAGCGGGGACAUUGCCCUGAUGGAGCUGGACUCCCCCUUGCAGGCCUCCCAGUUCAGCCCCAUCUGCCUCCCAGGACCCCAGACCCCCCUCGCCAUUGGGACCGUGUGCUGGGUAAACGGGCUGGGGGUCCACUCAGGAGAGGGCCCUGGCGAGUGUCCUUCAGGAGGUGGCUGUGCCCCUCCUGGACUCGAACAUGUGUGAGCUGAUGUACCACCUAGGAGAGCCCAGCCUGGCUGGCCAGCGCCUCAUCCAGGACGACAUGCUCUGUGCUGGCUCUGUCCAGGGCAAGAAAGACUCCUGCCAGGGUGACUCCGGGGGGCCGCUGGUCUGCCCCAUCAAUGAUACGUGGAUCCAGGCCGGCAUUGUGAGCUGGGGAUUCGGCUGUGCCCGGCCUUUCCGGCCUGGUGUCUACACCCAGGUGCUAAGCUACACAGACUGGAUUCAGAGAACCCUGGCUGAAUCUCACUCAGGCAUGUCUGGGGCCCGCCCAGGUGCCCCAGGAUCCCACUCAGGCACCUCCAGAUCCCACCCAGUGCUGCUGCUUGAGCUGUUGACCGUAUGCUUGCUUGGGUCCCUGUGA